GUACUUUAAUUUAACAUAUUUUUUAGAAGUGCUGUAGUAUAACUAGCAGGACACAAGUUAUAAUUGCGGUAAGUUUGGAGACACUACCUUAUUUCAUCAUUAAAUAAAUUUGUAUUUUUCUUGUAUCU
Molecule: long non-coding RNA, 128 nt
Organism: Etheostoma spectabile (orangethroat darter)
Lineage: Eukaryota; Metazoa; Chordata; Actinopteri; Perciformes; Percidae
Exons: 3
Source: RefSeq, a predicted model, not a curated record